This 253-nucleotide ribosomal RNA is filed under the name uncultured bacterium. Its description in RNAcentral is "partial 16S ribosomal RNA". It matches the Rfam family "Bacterial small subunit ribosomal RNA", at positions 524 to 776 of the family's 1533-position model. The record is from RNAcentral.
UACAGAGGUGGCAAGCGUUGUUCGGAAUUACUGGGCGUAAAGGGCGCGUAGGCGGCCAUCUAAGUCAGACGUGAAAUCCCCCGGCUUAACCUGGGAACUGCGUCUGAUACUGGGUGGCUUGAAUCCGGGAGAGGGAUGCGGAAUUCCAGGUGUAGCGGUGAAAUGCGUAGAUAUCUGGAGGAACACCGGUGGCGAAGGCGGCAUCCUGGACCGGCAUUGACGCUGAGGCGCGAAAGCCAGGGGAGCAAACGGG